GUGGGGGCGGGGAUGGGGACGCAGCGCGGAGUGCUGGAGAGACGCGGCGGCGCUGGCGGAGGAGGCGGCGGCGGGUGGGGGCUGGCUCCUGGGGCCACGGGCGGCGGCCGCAGGGACCGCGGCGCUGAGGGCGGGGGCCGGCCCAGGGCUGGAGGCAUCGCGCCCCGGGGCACCGGGUCCGCGCGCGGCCGCACACACCCACCCGCGCGGCUUCCCGCGGCGGCCCAGGCUCCGCUCAUCCUGCGGCGGGCGGCGCCGUCCUGGGGCGGGAAGAGGAGGCGGUAGAGACUGCCGGAGAAGAUGUCGGGCCAAACGCUCACGGAUCGGAUCGCCGCCGCUCAGUACAGCGUCACAGGCUCCGCUGUAGCGAGAGCGGUCUGCAAAGCCACCACUCAUGAAGUGAUGGGCCCCAAGAAAAAGCACCUGGACUAUUUGAUCCAGGCUACCAAUGAGACCAAUGUGAAUAUCCCUCAGAUGGCUGACACGCUCUUUGAGCGGGCGACAAACAGUAGCUGGGUGGUUGUAUUUAAAGCUUUAGUCACAACACACCAUCUCAUGGUGCAUGGAAACGAGAGAUUUAUUCAGUAUUUGGCCUCUAGAAAUACAUUAUUCAAUCUCAGCAAUUUUUUGGACAAAAGUGGAUCCCAUGGUUACGAUAUGUCUACCUUCAUAAGGCGCUAUAGUAGAUAUUUGAAUGAAAAGGCUUUCUCUUACAGACAGAUGGCAUUUGAUUUUGCCAGAGUGAAGAAAGGAGCCGAUGGGGUGAUGAGGACAAUGGCUCCCGAAAAGCUCCUGAAGAGUAUGCCAAUACUGCAAGGACAGAUCGACGCCCUGCUUGAAUUUGAUGUGCAUCCAAAUGAGCUAACAAAUGGUGUCAUAAAUGCUGCAUUUAUGCUUCUUUUCAAAGAUCUUAUCAAACUUUUUGCCUGCUACAAUGAUGGAGUUAUUAACUUACUUGAAAAGUUUUUUGAAAUGAAGAAAGGACAAUGUAAAGAUGCUUUAGAAAUUUAUAAACGCUUUCUAACUAGAAUGACGCGAGUGUCCGAAUUCCUCAAAGUCGCAGAGCAAGUUGGCAUUGAUAAAGGUGACAUUCCUGACCUCACACAGGCUCCCAGCAGUCUUAUGGAGACCCUUGAACAGCAUCUAAAUACAUUAGAAGGAAAGAAACCCGGAAACAAUGAAGGAUCUGGUGCUCCCUCUCCAUUAAGUAAGUCUUCUCCAGCCACAACCGUUACGUCUCCGAAUUCUACACCAGCUAAAACUAUUGACACAUCCCCACCAGUUGAUUUAUUUGCAACUGCAUCUGCGGCUGUCCCAGUCAGCGCUUCUAAACCAUCCAGCGAUCUGCUGGACCUCCAGCCAGACUUUUCCUCGGCAGGGGCGGCAGCAGCCGCGGCACCAGCACCAGCACCACCUUCCGGAGGAGCCACUGCGUGGGGAGACCUUUUGGGAGAGGAUUCUUUGGCUGCACUCUCCUCUGUUCCCUCUGAAGCUCAGAUCUCAGACCCAUUUGCACCAGAACCUUCCCCUCCUACCACAGCUGCAGAAAUUGCAACUGCUUCCGCUUCUGCCUCCACCACCACAACUGUCACUGCUGUCACUGCUGAAGUGGAUCUCUUUGGAGAUGCCUUUGCAGCUUCUCCUGGGGAGGCCCCUGCCGCACCCGAAGGGGCCGCCGCGCCAGCCCCCCCAACCCCUGUAGCAGCAGCACUUGAUGCAUGUUCAGGAAAUGACCCCUUUGCCCCGUCUGAAGGUAGUGCAGAGGCUGCACCCGAGCUGGACCUCUUUGCAAUGAAGCCACCUGAGACCAGUGUUCCUGUAGUUACCCCUACAGCUAGCACAGCCCCUCCGGUUCCCGCCACUGCUCCUUCUCCUGCUCCCGCCGUUGCAGCUGCCACUGCUGCCACUACUGCUGCCACCACCGCCGCCACCACCACUGCCACCACCUCCGCCACCACCACCACCGCUCCUCCUGCUCUAGAUAUCUUUGGUGAUUUAUUUGAUUCUGCUCCCGAAGUUGCUGCAGCGCCUAAGCCAGAUGCUGCUCCUAGCAUAGACCUGUUUGGUACAGAUGCUUUCUCCUCUCCACCACAAGGGGCCUCUCCCGUGCCUGAGAGUUCGCUCACUGCUGACCUCUUAUCCGUGGAUGCAUUUGCAGCACCAUCUCCUGCAGCCACUGCCUCUCCAGCAAAGGUGGAUUCUUCAGGUGUGAUAGACCUUUUCGGGGAUGCAUUUGGAAGCAGUGCUUCUGAACCCCAACCUGCACCUCAGGCUGCUUCUAGUUCAUCCGCAUCGGCAGACCUACUAGCUGGAUUUGGGGGUUCUUUCAUGGCCCCUUCUCCAUCACCAGUGACUCCAGCUCAGAAUAACCUGCUACAGCCCAAUUUUGAGGCAGCUUUUGGAACAACGCCUUCAACUUCUAGCAGCAGCUCCUUUGAUCCAUCAGUGUUCGAUGGUCUAGGUGACCUUCUGAUGCCAACCGUGGCACCGGCCGGGCAGCCUGCACCCAUCUCAGUGGCACCUCCCAGUCCUGCAAUGGCAGCAAGCAAAGCCCUCGGGAGUGAUCUUGACUCAUCUCUUGCCAGCUUAGUAGGCAAUCUUGGAAUUUCUGGUACCACAUCUAAAAAGGGAGAUCUUCAGUGGAAUGCUGGAGAGAAAAAGUUGACUGGUGGAGCCAACUGGCAGCCGAAAGUGGCCCCUGCAACCUGGUCGGCAGGUGUCCCGCCAAGCGCACCUUUGAAAGAUUGGGCAGUGUUCUAUUGUCAAGGAACUGUACCUCCAACUAGUUCUGUUCCUCCUGUUGCUGGGGCCCCACCUGUUGGACAACCUGGAGCAGGAUUUGGAAUGCCUCCUGCUGGGACGGGCAUGCCCAUGAUGCCUCAGCAGCCAGUCAUGUUUGCACAGCCCAUGAUGAGGCCACCCUUUGGGGCCACAGCUGUACCUGGCACACAGCUUUCUCCAAGCCCUACACCUGCCACUCAGAGUCCCAAGAAACCUCCAGCAAAGGACCCAUUAGCGGAUCUUAACAUCAAGGAUUUCUUGUAAACAAUUUAAGGUAUCUAAUACUGAGCUUUUCCUGUGGGCUUGUAAGAAUGACCUGUGCAAUGCUUAGCUAGUUCAAGCUGCAGUUUUUGUGACUGAAUAGGAAAAAAAUAAUGAGUUUGGAGACUUCAAAUAAGAUUGAUGCUCAGAGUUUCAAAGUGAGCCACCAGUACCAAACCCAAUGCUUACUCAUAACUUCUCUUCCAAAAUGUGUAGCACAGCUGUGAAAGUGAACAUUAGGAAUGUGUACCACCUUAGCUGUUAUCCCUACUCUCAAAAUUGUAGUGUAUUUGGGUUAUUUGUGUGUCGUACGAUGUAAACAAUGAAUGGAUGUUUCCGAUGCCUUUAGUGCUGUUCUGGACCUCGCCCAUGGACGGAUCACGCAGCUGUUGUCUGGUGAGCCAUUUGGAAAGAUGUGUCUGUGUUUUUGAAGGUUUCAAUGUAUAUAUAACUUUUGGACAAAGCUAAACUCUCCCCGUAAAUUCUCUUUUCUUCUGUAUCUCUGUUACAAACAUAGUGUGAUAAUAUCCGAUAGUAAGGAAAACACUCUUAAAUAUACAAAACUUUUUUCCGUGUGGAGUACAUUUUUCCAAUCACAGGAACUUCAACUGUUGUGAGAAAUGUUUAUUUUUGUGGCACUGUAUAUGUUAAGAAAUUUUAUUUUAAAAAAUAUAAAGGUUAACGUCCAUAAUAAAUAUUUCUCCUUGAAGCUACCUUAUCAAGAAUGAAAAAAUCAUAUGGGAAGAAUUCCAUAUUUAAUCAAUGCUAUAUUAAAAUAUAUAUUUUAAUUAUAUUUGACAGGUUUUGCAUCUAAAUUGACCUAUUUAUUCAUUCUUGAUUAAAUGCACUGAAAAGUACAGGUCCGUUUCUACCAUGUCCGUGAAAAUGCAAUUAGAGAUGUGCUAUUUAAGCGAUUACAAGUCACCCUAAGGUGUAUCUGUAAUUUAAAGAUUACUGCAGAUAUUUUUGUUUUAUUGUGGGUUUUAUGUACAUCUGUUAAUUUAGUAUUUCUUUGUGUGUUCUGUAGACUAGUGUUCUUCCAUCCCUCAAUUGAGCUCAGAGUAGCUUUUGUUGUACCAUUGUGAUUAGAAUUUAAACUAAUUCAAAGAAUUGUAUCCUUUACUGUACAUACUGUAUUCUUUAAUUUUUAAUUUGUUGUCAUACUGUCUGUGCUGAUGGCUUGGCUUAAGAUUUUGAUGCAUAAAUGAGGUCACUGUUGAUCAGUGUUGCUAGUGGCUUGGCAGCUCUUCGUAAAAGCAUAUUGGGUUGGAAAGGUGUUUGCCUAUUUUUCCAAUUAUUUAAUAGAUGUAUGGUACCAUUUAAAAGUGGUUGUAUCUGAAUUACUGUGGGGAUAACAUACACUGUAAUGGGGAAAAAUUACCUAAAACCAAUUUCAAAAUGGCUUUUCUUUGUAUUUCAGUUUAAAAACCCAGUGCAUGUACGCCCUCUGAGAUGCAAUAAACACCUUGAACAAAGAAAAUGCAAA
Molecule: non-coding RNA, 4528 nt
Organism: Equus caballus (horse)
Lineage: Eukaryota; Metazoa; Chordata; Mammalia; Perissodactyla; Equidae
Source: RefSeq, a predicted model, not a curated record